This is a non-coding RNA of Macrostomum lignano, 316 nucleotides long. NCBI's taxonomy places the organism in Eukaryota, Metazoa, Platyhelminthes, Macrostomidae. The record is from Rfam.
UAUUCCGGCUAUUCGUUUGCAGGUUACUCGUGGCCUGAGUGGUAGAAGCAAAGCUACUGCUAGUCACUAUUUGUGGCGACACCUUCAAAUUGCGUGAAAGCCGUCAUACAGCUUCAAGUACCACUUCAAUUGAGAAAUCUUUUAAAGGAACAGAGGUAACUCUCUUCCCACUGGUAAAAAGCUUGAAGACAAGGUGGCAAUGCGCAGCCAAGCUCCUAAGUUGAUAAUUCAGUAUGGAGAAGGUUCAGAGAGCAGACGGAAGUGGAUGGUAAUUUAGCUACUUAAGGUGUGCUCCAGCCUCUAUCGAAAGACAGAG